GAGGGUAUAGCUCAACCGGUAGAGUGCAUGAUUAUCAUGGACGGGAUCCUGGGUUCAAUCCCCAGUACCUCCA
Molecule: transfer RNA, 73 nt
Filed under: Camelus bactrianus (Bactrian camel)
Lineage: Eukaryota; Metazoa; Chordata; Mammalia; Artiodactyla; Camelidae
Also listed under: 2 other names
Rfam family: tRNA
About the family: Transfer RNA (tRNA) molecules are approximately 80 nucleotides in length. Their secondary structure includes four short double-helical elements and three loops (D, anti-codon, and T loops).
Source: Rfam by way of RNAcentral